AUUGAACGCUGGCGGCAGGCCUAACACAUGCAAGUCGAGCGGAUGAAGGGAGCUUGCUCCUGGAUUCAGCGGCGGACGGGCGAGUAAUGCCUAGGAAUCUGCCUGGCAGCGGGGGAUAACGUCCGGAAACGGGCGCUAAUACCGCAUACGUCCUGAGGGAGAAAGUGGGGGAUCUUCGGACCUCACGCUAUCAGAUGAGCCUAGGUCGGAUUAGCUAGUUGGUGGGGUAAAGGCCUACCAAGGCGACGAUCCGUAACUGGUCUGAGAGGAUGAUCAGCCACACUGGAACUGAGACACGGUCCAGACUCCUACGGGAGGCAGCAGUGGGGAAUAUUGGACAAUGGGCGAAAGCCUGAUCCAGCCAUGCCGCGUGUGUGAAGAAGGUCUUCGGAUUGUAAAGCACUUUAAGUUGGGAAGAAGAGCAGUAAGUUAAUACCUUGCUGUUUUGACGUUACCAACAGAAUAAGCACCGGCUAACUUCGUG
RNAcentral lists this ribosomal RNA (484 nucleotides) under uncultured bacterium. RNAcentral describes it as "partial 16S ribosomal RNA". It matches the Rfam family "Bacterial small subunit ribosomal RNA", at positions 30 to 507 of the family's 1533-position model. The record is from RNAcentral.